RNAcentral lists this ribosomal RNA (1346 nucleotides) under uncultured bacterium. Its description in RNAcentral is "partial 16S ribosomal RNA". It matches the Rfam family "Bacterial small subunit ribosomal RNA", at positions 28 to 1381 of the family's 1533-position model. The record is from RNAcentral.
GACGAACGUUGGCGGCGUGCUUAACACAUGCAAGUCGAACGGAAAGGCCCUGCUUUUGUGGGGUGCUCGAGUGGCGAACGGGUGAGUAACACGUGAGUAACCUGCCCUUGACUUUGGGAUAACUUCAGGAAACUGGGGCUAAUACCGGAUAGGAGCUCCUGCUGCAUGGUGGGGGUUGGAAAGUUUCGGCGGUUGGGGAUGGACUCGCGGCUUAUCAGCUUGUUGGUGGGGUAGUGGCUUACCAAGGCUUUGACGGGUAGCCGGCCUGAGAGGGUGACCGGCCACAUUGGGACUGAGAUACGGCCCAGACUCCUACGGGAGGCAGCAGUGGGGAAUAUUGCACAAUGGGCGGAAGCCUGAUGCAGCAACGCCGCGUGCGGGAUGACGGCCUUCGGGUUGUAAACCGCUUUCGCCUGUGACGAAGCGUGAGUGACGGUAAUGGGUAAAGAAGCACCGGCUAACUACGUGCCAGCAGCCGCGGUGAUACGUAGGGUGCGAGCGUUGUCCGGAUUUAUUGGGCGUAAAGGGCUCGUAGGUGGUUGAUCGCGUCGGAAGUGUAAUCUUGGGGCUUAACCCUGAGCGUGCUUUCGAUACGGGUUGACUUGAGGAAGGUAGGGGAGAAUGGAAUUCCUGGUGGAGCGGUGGAAUGCGCAGAUAUCAGGAGGAACACCAGUGGCGAAGGCGGUUCUCUGGGCCUUUCCUGACGCUGAGGAGGGAAAGCGUGGGGAGCGAACAGGCUUAGAUACCCUGGUAGUCCACGCUGUAAACGGUGGGUACUAGGUGUGGGGUCCAUUCCACGGGUUCCGUGCCGUAGCUAACGCUUUAAGUACCCCGCCUGGGGAGUACGGCCGCAAGGCUAAAACUCAAAGGAAUUGACGGGGCCCCGCACAAGCGGCGGAGCAUGCGGAUUAAUUCGAUGCAACGCGUAGAACCUUACCUGGGUUUGACAUGGAUCGGGAGUGCUCAGAGAUGGGUGUGCCUCUUUUGGGGUCGGUUCACAGGUGGUGCAUGGCUGUCGUCAGCUCGUGUCGUGAGAUGUUGGGUUAAGUCCCGCAACGAGCGCAACCCUUGUUCACUGUUGCCAGCACGUUAUGGUGGGGACUCAGUGGAGACCGCCGGGGUCAACUCGGAGGAAGGUGGGGAUGACGUCAAGUCAUCAUGCCCCUUAUGUCCAGGGCUUCACGCAUGCUACAAUGGCUGGUACAGAGAGUGGCGAGCCUGUGAGGGUGAGCGAAUCUCGGAAAGCCGGUCUCAGUUCGGAUUGGGGUCUGCAACUCGACCUCAUGAAGUCGGAGUCGCUAGUAAUCGCAGAUCAGCAACGCUGCGGUGAAUACGUUCCCGGGGCU